Molecule: ribosomal RNA, 465 nt
Filed under: uncultured bacterium
Lineage: Bacteria
Description: partial 16S ribosomal RNA
Rfam family: Bacterial small subunit ribosomal RNA
Source: RNAcentral
GACGAACGCUGGCGGCGUGCUUAACACAUGCAAGUCGAACGGAAAGGCCCCAGCUUGCUGGGGUCCUCGAGUGGCGAACGGGUGAGUAACACGUGGGUGAUCUGCCCUGCACUCUGGGAUAAGCCUGGGAAACUGGGUCUAAUACCGGAUAGGACCGUGCUUUAGUGUGUGCGGUGGAAAGUUUUUCGGUGCAGGAUGAGCCCGCGGCCUAUCAGCUUGUUGGUGGGGUAAUGGCCUACCAAGGCGGCGACGGGUAGCCGGCCUGAGAGGGUGUACGGCUACAUUGGGACUGAGACACGGCCCAGACUCCUACGGGAGGCAGCAGUGGGGAAUAUUGCACAAUGGGCGCAAGCCUGAUGCAGCGACGCCGCGUGGGGGAUGACGGCCUUCGGGUUGUAAACCCCUUUCGGCAGGGACGAAGCUUUUGUGACGGUACCUGCAGAAGAAGCACCGGCUAACUACGUG